This is an RNA transcript of Vicia villosa (hairy vetch), 2038 nucleotides long. It is a transcript of the gene named transcription termination factor MTERF8, chloroplastic-like, with no coding region annotated. The record is from RefSeq and is a predicted model, not a curated record. The transcript is spliced from 4 exons. Lineage: Eukaryota; Viridiplantae; Streptophyta; Magnoliopsida; Fabales; Fabaceae.
UGUCGAGAGACUAAAUUAAGUUUUAAUGCAGUAGAUAAGGACAUUUUCUAUUCAUAGAUGUGCGUGGAGACGCGGUCAUCCCUUGUCGUGAUUUCUGAUUCGAGAAAUGGCAUUAGCAGCACUCCCUCUAUUCUCAAAUCCUCCAUGCCGUUGCUCUUCUUCACAUUCCCGUCAACCCUCAAACUUUUCCACUCAUCUUCAAACUCAGCCCUUUAUCUUUCCACUCACCAAAUCACAACCACCAAACAACAACUAUCUCCUUUUCCAAUUUCGGCCCUCCAUCCACUGCCGCUGCAGUUCCCACACUCCCAAUCUCGACUUCCAAUACGUCAGACUUGUCACUUUGUUUCAAGAUAUCGGUAUCAGCUUUGAGGAAGCCAAUUUGCUCUUGAGCAAUGCUUCCGAACUGACCUCGAUACAACUAGAUUUAUUGCGGGAUCGCAUUCUUUCUUUAAAAUCUCUUGGGUUAGGUCGUAUGUCCAUCAAUCACAUAGUUACAAAGCAAUUAAAUAUGCUAACUUCAAAUGAAAUUGACCCAUUGUUAAACUUUUUGAGAUAUGAAUUGCAAGGACAGGUUAAGGAAGCUAAGGUGAAACGUCUUUUAUCGGCUAAAGAGCCAAAAGAAUUAUCUGAUUUUCCUCAGAAGGUUCAAUUGCUUAUUGACAGUGGAAUUGGGGUUGAUAAGAUUGCACAUGUGCUUAACAAAGUGUGUUUGUCAAAGGCAAUUUGUCAUAGGUCAAUGGAAGAAAUUGAAAGAGUAAUUAGUUUCUUAAAACCAUUCGGUGGUGUUGAUUUGAUUCUGAAGCACCCUGUGCUUCUCAACCAUGAUUUGGAUAAUAAGCUGAAACCGAGAUUCAGGGUUCUUACUGAGUUAAGUGGCGGAGAUGAGGAUAGUGUUGGGAAAGUGGUGAAUGUGUUCCCUCCGAUCAUGAAUUUAAGGACAGAACGUCUUGAAGAACAAAUAGAGUUCUUGAGGUCUUUUGCAGAACUUGAUGAUCAACAAAUAUUUAGGAUAGUGUUGGUGUAUCCAUCUAUUUUCAAUAGUAAUAGAGAGAGGAAACUGCGUCCUAGAUUACAAUUUCUCAAGGAUUGUGGGUUAGACUCGGGCGAUAUCUUUAAAUUCUUGAUCAAAGAACCGACUUUUUUGGGCAUUUCGUUCCGCAAUAACCUUGAGUGUAAGCUUUUGUUUUUGGUCAAGAUUGGGUAUAAAUAUAGGACAAAAGAGUUGGCAAUGGCGGUUGCGGCUUCUACUAGAACAAGCUGUGGGAAUAUGCAGAAGGCGGUGAGUUUAUUCUUGAAUUCUGGGUUGUCGUCCGAAGACAUUUUUGCUAUGUGUAAGAAGCGUCCACUGAUACUCCAGUAUAAUCACGCCUCUCUAGAGAAGAAGAUUAAGUAUUUGACGGAGGAGAUGGAUCGUGACAUUCAGGAGUUGUUGGAUUUUCCUGCAUUUCUUGGAUACAAGUUUGAUGAGAGAAUUAAGUAUAGGUAUGAAAUAAAGAAGGAUUCAUGCGGGGGACAAAUAUCUCUCAAUCAACUUUUAACUGUUUCAAGUGAGAACUUCAGUGAUAGGCCAAAAAAGACUUCUGUAAAAUCUAAAUUGGAAUAAAGGGAUAAUGUAGUCAAAAUGGGAGGAGAGAAGCCUGUAAAGAAACUGAAGGUGUGAUCUAAUGCUUAAUCCCAAAAAAGAGCGUUUACAAAUCAAGAAAGGAAAACACAUCUCCGAUUUUUUAAAUAAAAGCAGCAGCUUAUCAAUAAAACAUAGGAACAAGAACAUAGUUUAACAAACGCCAAGAGAACCAGACAAUAAUCCAGGUCUUUACAGGUCGUUUUACAUGAGAUACAAUAUUGGUUGCGGAAAGCAAUGGUGCAGGCUUCACAUUGGUACUAUUUUAUGGUGCCACUACUGGAUUUCCAUUGAAAACUAAUCAAAUAAAAAACUAAUUUUUGCCGAGUGUUAUUAACAUGCAUUUGCAGUGUUAAUAAACUUAGCUUCGUAAAUGUCUUCCAUUUUUCAUAACUUGAAACAUUCUUUACACGA